RNAcentral lists this ribosomal RNA (460 nucleotides) under uncultured bacterium. RNAcentral describes it as "partial 16S ribosomal RNA". It matches the Rfam family "Bacterial small subunit ribosomal RNA", at positions 338 to 795 of the family's 1533-position model. The record is from RNAcentral.
CCUACGGGGGGCAGCAGUGAGGAAUAUUGGUCAAUGGGCGAGAGCCUGAACCAGCCAAGUCGCGUGAAGGAUGACGGCCCUACGGGUUGUAAACUUCUUUUGUCAGGGAGCAAUUGGGUCCACGCGUGGGCUUAGCGAGAGUACCUGAAGAAAAAGCAUCGGCUAACUCCGUGCCAGCAGCCGCGGUAAUACGGAGGAUGCGAGCGUUAUCCGGAUUUAUUGGGUUUAAAGGGUGCGUAGGCGGAAUAUCAAGUCAGCGGUAAAAAUUCGGGGCUCAACCCCGUCGUGCCGUUGAAACUGAUGGUCUUGAGUGGGCGAGAAGUAUGCGGAAUGCGUGGUGUAGCGGUGAAAUGCAUAGAUAUCACGCAGAACUCCGAUUGCGAAGGCAGCAUACCGGCGCUCAACUGACGCUCAUGCACGAAAGCGUGGGUAUCGAACAGGAUUAGAUACCCUGGUAGUC